GAAAGUGAUCUUAUUAAUGUUUUUGCAAUUCACAAUUGAUAUUUCACAGCUCAAACCCAAAAGCAACAGAAUUUUAACCAAGAAAAACUACAAUCAAAGUACCUGUAAUUAAAAUUUCUAUUCCCAUGAGUUGUAACACAUACAACCAAUCUACGAUGCUGAAAUUCAGUAGUCCAAACGAAUUUCACAUUCAAGUGAAUAUAUUUGGUUUUCAGCUGUUGCUAACAGCUAGUCACUAUUAAUCAGUUGAUAAAAUAAUAGUUGAAUGUCUCACUCCGAAUUCUGAUCCAGCUGGGCCAGGGAAAUUCUUCCACUAUAGACAGGAGAAAAAGAAAG
Molecule: unclassified non-coding RNA, 336 nt
Filed under: Hevea brasiliensis (rubber tree)
Lineage: Eukaryota; Viridiplantae; Streptophyta; Magnoliopsida; Malpighiales; Euphorbiaceae
Source: RNAcentral